UAGAUGGAUGCUCGCUGGAUUGGGCGCUUAGCUGUUAACUAAGAGUUUGAAGGGUCGAGUCCUUCUCAUCUAG
Molecule: transfer RNA, 73 nt
Filed under: Holopristis ocellifer
Lineage: Eukaryota; Metazoa; Chordata; Actinopteri; Characiformes; Acestrorhamphidae
Description: Hemigrammus ocellifer tRNA-Asn
Source: RNAcentral